RNAcentral lists this ribosomal RNA (468 nucleotides) under uncultured bacterium. Its description in RNAcentral is "partial 16S ribosomal RNA". It matches the Rfam family "Bacterial small subunit ribosomal RNA", at positions 28 to 507 of the family's 1533-position model. The record is from RNAcentral.
GACGAACGCUGGCGGCGUGCUUAACACAUGCAAGUCGAACGGAAAGGCCCUGCUUUUGUGGGGUGCUCGAGUGGCGAACGGGUGAGUAACACGUGAGUAACCUGCCCUUGACUUUGGGAUAACUUCAGGAAACUGGGGCUAAUACCGGAUAGGAGCUCCUGCUGCAUGGUGUGGGUUGGAAAGUUUCGGCGGUUGGGGAUGGACUCGCGGCUUAUCAGCUUGUUGGUGGGGUAGUGGCUUACCAAGGCUUUGACGGGUAGCCGGCCUGAGAGGGUGACCGGCCACAUUGGGACUGAGAUACGGCGCAGACUGCUACGGGAGGCAGCAGUGGGGAAUAUUGCACAAUAGGCGGAAGCCUGAUGCAGCAACGCCGCGUGCGGGAUGACGGCCUUCGGGUUGUAAACAGCUGUCGCCUGUGACGAAGCGAGAGUGACGGUAAUGAGUAAAGAAGCACCGGCUAACUACGUG